Drosophila ananassae is the source of this 541-nucleotide long non-coding RNA. RefSeq lists it as uncharacterized. The transcript has 2 exons. NCBI's taxonomy places the organism in Eukaryota, Metazoa, Arthropoda, Insecta, Diptera, Drosophilidae. The record is from RefSeq and is a predicted model, not a curated record.
UUCCCUUGGCCUUGCCAGGGAUUCCAAAGUUGGCGAUUUGUGUGCGCGGGUCCUUGAAGUGGAUUGUGGAGUUAACCAUCCGCAUCGACGGCGUUCUGCGGGGCUUAUGUACUGACGACCCAAGCUAGAAGCUGGCUUUUUGUUAGAAUUCACAGUGAUUUUAUCGCCCAUUCGAUGGAACGAUUUAUUUGAGUGGUUUUCAGUUAUAUACUUAUUUUAAACAUGUUUUCAUAGACUUUUAUUUUAGAGUGAGAGUCUUGGAAGUAAUAGCUAGGAGCAAAACAUUACUUAAUUUCACGUAUAAGUUGCAGGUUAGAGCAGGUUCUGCUACGCGGGUAAUCAACACCUAGCCGGAAAGAAUAAUGGCAGGCGGUGGAUUCCUGGUCGCAAAAUGAAAGGGAGUCUCAUCCAAACAAAUUGGCGACAAUAGAACAACGGAAACGGAAACAAUGAAAAUGUUCUUGUAGCCACAGAAGCAGCAGCAGCAGCAUUUGCUAAUGGCCACCCUGAAGGGGAGAAAAUAAAAAGACUCCUGUCAGGA